GACGUAGGGUGCAAGCGUUGUCCGGAUUUACUGGGCGUAAAGAGCUCGUAGGCGGUUUGUCGCGUCGACUGUGAAAACCCGAGGCUUAACCUCGGGCCUGCAGUCGAUACGGGCAGACUAGAGUUCGGUAGGGGAGACUGGAAUUCCUGGUGUAGCGGUGAAAUGCGCAGAUAUCAGGAGGAACACCGGUGGCGAAGGCGGGUCUCUGGGCCGAUACUGACGCUGAGGAGCGAAAGCGUGGGGAGCGAACAGG
This 253-nucleotide ribosomal RNA is filed under the name uncultured bacterium. RNAcentral describes it as "partial 16S ribosomal RNA". It matches the Rfam family "Bacterial small subunit ribosomal RNA", at positions 524 to 776 of the family's 1533-position model. The record is from RNAcentral.